GACGAGCUUUAUCCCGUGCACGCCGGCGCCUCCACUUCCACACCCGUCGCUCUCUCCGUCGGCGUCGACCUUUGGCAUGCUCGCUUGGGCCACCUCAACCCUGCCGUUUUGCGUCAGAUUCUUAGAAGUUUUUAUUUCUCAUGUAAUAAGCUCGACGAGCAUACUUGUGGGGCUUGUCGUUUGGGCAAGCACGUGUGCCUUCCCUUUACUGCGUCUACUUCAGUUUCCACUUUUCCGUUUCAGUUGAUUCAUAGUGAUGUUUGGACGUCUCCCGUUGCGAGUAACACGGGCUAUCUAUACUAUUUGGUGAUUUUAGAUGAUUACUCUCAUUAUGUGUGGACUUUUCCUCUUCGUCGUAAAUCCGAUGCUUUAGCCACACUCACCACCUUUUAUUCCUACAUCACCACUCAGUUUGGUCGCCCCAUACUUGCACUCCAAACUGAUAACGGAAAAGAGUUUGAUAACGUCGCUCUUCGCUCACUUCUCGCCUCUCACGGCACCACCUUGCGUCUGACUUGCCCCUACACUUCACAAAAGAACGGCCGCGCCGAGCGCAUUUUCCGCACUCUUAAUGACUGCAUUCGCACGUUUCUCUUUCACGCUAACGUGCCCGCUCGGUUCUGGCCCGAUGCCCUCGCCACCGCCUCUCUCUUAGUCAACAUUCGUCCGUGUCGUCCCCGGUGGAACUACGCCCCUCACCACCUUCUUUUCGAUACACCACCGUCCUAUGAUGGUCUUCGCAUAUUUGGGUGUCUUUGUUAUCCCAGCACCGCAUCCACCACGCCACACAAGCUUGCACCCCGCUCUGCCCCAUGCAUCUUCCUUGGCUACCCUCCCAACACCAAAGGUUACCGGUGCUAUGAUCCUGUCACUCAUCGUGUGUACACCUCGAGGCACGUGUAC
RNAcentral lists this ribosomal RNA (903 nucleotides) under Triticum aestivum (bread wheat). RNAcentral's name for it is "partial small subunit ribosomal RNA". The record is from RNAcentral. Lineage: Eukaryota; Viridiplantae; Streptophyta; Magnoliopsida; Poales; Poaceae.